RNAcentral lists this ribosomal RNA (497 nucleotides) under uncultured bacterium. RNAcentral's name for it is "partial 16S ribosomal RNA". It matches the Rfam family "Bacterial small subunit ribosomal RNA", at positions 28 to 507 of the family's 1533-position model. The record is from RNAcentral.
GAUGAACGCUGGCGGCGUGCCUAAUACAUGCAAGUCGAGCGUACAGCUGAGGAGCUUGCUCCUCUGACGUUAGCGGCGGCCGGGUGAGUUACCCGUGGGUUACCUAUCUCAAAGACUGGCGUCACCUCGGGAAACCGGAGCUAAAUCCGGCUAAUAUAUUGAACCGCAUGGUUCAAUCGUCAAAGGCGUAUUUGCUGUGUGUUGUAGAUGCCUCCCAACCCGAUUAGCCAGGUCGUAAGGUAAAGGCUUACCAGGGACACGGUGCGUAGCCGACCUGAGAGGGUGGUCGGGCACACGGGAACUGAGACACGUCCCAGACUCCUACGGUGAGCAGCAGUAGGGAAUCUUCCGCGAGGGGCGAGAGCUGGACGGAGCAACGCCGCGUGAGUGAUGAAGGUCUUCGGAUCGUAGAACGCUGUUAGUAGUGAAGAACAAAUGUGUAAGUAACUAUGCACGUCUUGACGGUACCUAAUCAGAAAGCCACGGCUAACUACGUG